AACGAACGCUGGCGGCAUGCCUAACACAUGCAAGUCGAACGAAGGCUUCGGCCUUAGUGGCGCACGGGUGCGUAACGCGUGGGAACCUGCCCCUCGGUUCGGAAUAACAGUUAGAAAUGACUGCUAAUACCGGAUGAUGACUUCGGUCCAAAGAUUUAUCGCCGAGGGAUGGGCCCGCGUAGGAUUAGCUAGUUGGUGGGGUAAAGGCCUACCAAGGCGACGAUCCUUAGCUGGUCUGAGAGGAUGAUCAGCCACACUGGGACUGAGACACGGCCCAGACUCCUACGGGAGGCAGCAGUGGGGAAUAUUGGACAAUGGGCGAAAGCCUGAUCCAGCAAUGCCGCGUGAGUGAUGAAGGCCUUAGGGUUGUAAAGCUCUUUUACCAGGGAUGAUAAUGACAGUACCUGGAGAAUAAGCUCCGGCUAACUCCGUGCCAGCAGCCGCGGUAAAGUAGACGUC
This 459-nucleotide ribosomal RNA is filed under the name uncultured bacterium. RNAcentral describes it as "bacterial SSU rRNA". It matches the Rfam family "Bacterial small subunit ribosomal RNA", at positions 29 to 533 of the family's 1533-position model. The record is from RNAcentral.